CAGGGUCCAGGGGGUCUGGUUUUAUAGUCCCCUCAAGUGAAUGUGAGCCAUUGGAUCAAACCAACAUUGAUUGGACGGUUAUCCUUGAUCCUUUAGGUCGGUGGAACAUCGUCUGUGAAAAGAGUCCUGAUCCAACUCCAGGAAGGGGCGGGCGCCCAGGUCAACUGGGCGGGCGCCUAGUGCCUGGCCCCGUUCAGCCUCCGCUUCCUUCCCGUGGCUUCUGGAGUCUUCUAGAUGGUAGAAAAUUGCGCGGUGCGUUGAUAUCUCUAUGUAAUCCCGACAUGUGGCCCUUUCUUCCUUAUUUCCUGAUAACCCCCUGCAGAAAUAGAUAAACAAUAAAACUCGUGGAAUUCUGUCAGAUCAAACCCUAAUUCUAAGUGUUGUUUGCAUAUUGGUCCUUUCUCUUGUUUAUUUGAUAACUAAAAUUGAUACUUAAGAACCGUCAACAAUAACAAUGGUGAAAGUCUAAUUCUACUUAUGCUCUUUUGAGGGGAUACAUAACAUUCUUGCUCUUUGAAUCUUUUUGAGGAAAAUGAGAUAAUCUAUAUUUUCUUUUUCAUUCCUCUCAGGUGGGUAUCUUGUACCCCUAAUUCUAGUGUCGGACACUUGUCCAUUUUUACCUCUCGUCUCACUUUUUCUUUUCUUUCGAGGUUCCGGGCACUUGCCCCUUUUUAUUUCCUCGUAUCCUUUCUUUUUUUCUUUUUUUUAGAGCACUCAUCUCCUGAAAUAAUAUAGCAAGUGGUAGUAACCAAGACAACUUGAGCAUUUAUUUCACAGGAAAAAAACGGAAAUGUUUUUGGCUAUUCUCUCCCGGAUUAGGAGUAGAAUAUUUUUGGGUGGCUCUGGAGAUGGAAAUGAGUAUAUAUGUGGAUGCAUACUUCCAGAGUAGAAGCAGCAUGUGUGAGUGAACGUGCAAGUGAAUCUUGAUUUUAACCACAUGACAAGCUCCUAAGGGUCUACACAGCUUGACCACACUCAAUGCUCAUAAGUAGUAAAGUAAAUGUGUGGCUCAAAGUCUAGCAAGCAUGUAUAUAUGGCUGUGGUAGGAAUUUAAACUCUCAUCUUGCAAGAACUCAUCAUGUGAUAUUUUAAAGAUUUUCAAAGAUAAAAUUCUCCAGAAUUCUAGCAUCUCUAGGAAUAGAUAAACAGCAGCUCAACCUUCCCAUAUCAUAUCCGUUAACAAAUUAGAAUUUAGAUCAAGUUCUCUUCCCACAAUUUCAGGUUUAGAGCAAGCUUUAGAUUAUAACAGUUAUGUCUAAACUUGAGAGAGAACUUCAAAUUUGAAAAAUUAUGCAGAGCAACUAUUCAUCAUAUCCAUGCUAGAGUUUUAUUAAUAUUCAGUUUAGCAUAGCCACUUUAUUUAUUUAUUAAGCACACUAAGAAAAAGACAUAUAUAUAUAUAAGCACAAAAUCUUUAUUUGGUUUUUCAUGUUUAUGUAUAUUUUUAUUAUAGUAUAAGUAUAAAUGUAGAUAGAAAUACUUAGCGGGAUAAAUGGGGGUGCUCUCCCCCAAGCUGGAUUUUGACGUAAUUUCUUGUGAUGUAGCUAGCAGGUGGCAGAGGUGUAUUUGAAUGUCGGUAGCACCCUGACAACGAUUAGAAUGUCCUCCAUCUGCUAGUCUUCUUGAUCCUUGAAUUCUGUGGAGCUCAAAUAAACAACAAAGCUUUGUGGAACUAGUUAAGUGUUCGCAUAAGUAUCUAGCCUUUAUCAUGUUGUGCCUCCUCAAUAAAUGUUACUCUCUUUGGUAGGAACACAAUCUUAUUUUUAUAUUUUCAUUUUUAUAGAGCAGAAGAAUAUUUAUGCCACCACGGUGAUUGUACUUAUGAGUUUUAUGCCACUUGUAUACUCACAUGGGGCUUACUGGUUUCAACAAUUUAUUUUCUUUUUAGGAUAGUACGAACAUGAUUAACUAAGAAAACUAUUUAAAUAAUUGAAAGGAAAAGGAUAACUACCAAGUUUACCUCUUGGCAAGGCGUUCGGUGUUUUUAAGUCCUCCGAACAGGACUCUCCGUUUUUUCAGUCGUCCUGGGAUUCGCUCGAUGGCGUAGUCGGUGUUGGCGUCGCCUCCUCUUCGUGUAUAACUAUCUUCUCUCUCCACACCUGACUCAGUGCUACGGUCUCUUUAGGACAAUUCUAUUCAAGUUGUAUGUCUUCAGACCUUACCACUUCUCCUUCGUAGUCUGCCCAUCCAUCCUUGAUGAUUUCCCUCCUCUGGUUGCGGUUGCGUCGUCUUCUUCUUGUCCUAACCUGCUUAGAGUCUUCAACUAUAUAGUUAGAGUCAGUAAAAUAGCGAUGUACCUUCUUCGAGGGGAAGUGCAUGUGGACUUCUCCAGUUCUAAUGUAGAUGUUUGCUUUAACGGUGCUG
RNAcentral lists this long non-coding RNA (2364 nucleotides) under Sorghum bicolor (sorghum). RNAcentral's name for it is "long non-coding RNA (SBIC_LNC001148)". Lineage: Eukaryota; Viridiplantae; Streptophyta; Magnoliopsida; Poales; Poaceae. The record is from RNAcentral.